GGUUAAGCGACUAAGCGUACACGGUGGAUGCCCUGGCAGUCAGAGGCGAUGAAGGACGUGCUAAUCUGCGAUAAGCGUCGGUAAGGUGAUAUGAACCGUUAUAACCGGCGAUUUCCGAAUGGGGAAACCCAGUGUGUUUCGACACACUAUCAUUAACUGAAUCCAUAGGUUAAUGAGGCGAACCGGGGGAACUGAAACAUCUAAGUACCCCGAGGAAAAGAAAUCAACCGAGAUUCCCCCAGUAGCGGCGAGCGAACGGGGAGCAGCCCAGAGCCUGAAUCAGUGUGUGUGUUAGUGGAAGCGUCUGGAAAGGCGCGCGAUACAGGGUGACAGCCCCGUACACAAAAAUGCACAUGCUGUGAGCUCGAUGAGUAGGGCGGGACACGUGGUAUCCUGUCUGAAUAUGGGGGGACCAUCCUCCAAGGCUAAAUACUCCUGACUGACCGAUAGUGAACCAGUACCGUGAGGGAAAGGCGAAAAGAACCCCGGCGAGGGGAGUGAAAAAGAACCUGAAACCGUGUACGUACAAGCAGUGGGAGCACAGAGCAAUCUGUGUGACUGCGUACCUUUUGUAUAAUGGGUCAGCGACUUAUAUUCUGUAGCAAGGUUAACCGAAUAGGGGAGCCGAAGGGAAACCGAGUCUUAACUGGGCGUUAAGUUGCAGGGUAUAGACCCGAAACCCGGUGAUCUAGCCAUGGGCAGGUUGAAGGUUGGGUAACACUAACUGGAGGACCGAACCGACUAAUGUUGAAAAAUUAGCGGAUGACUUGUGGCUGGGGGUGAAAGGCCAAUCAAACCGGGAGAUAGCUGGUUCUCCCCGAAAGCUAUUUAGGUAGCGCCUCGUGAAUUCAUCUCCGGGGGUAGAGCACUGUUUCGGCAAGGGGGUCAUCCCGACUUACCAACCCGAUGCAAACUGCGAAUACCGGAGAAUGUUAUCACGGGAGACACACGGCGGGUGCUAACGUCCGUCGUGAAGAGGGAAACAACCCAGACCGCCAGCUAAGGUCCCAAAGUCAUGGUUAAGUGGGAAACGAUGUGGGAAGGCCCAGACAGCCAGGAUGUUGGCUUAGAAGCAGCCAUCAUUUAAAGAAAGCGUAAUAGCUCACUGGUCGAGUCGGCCUGCGCGGAAGAUGUAACGGGGCUAAACCAUGCACCGAAGCUGCGGCAGCGACGCUUAUGCGUUGUUGGGUAGGGGAGCGUUCUGUAAGCCUGCGAAGGUGUGCUGUGAGGCAUGCUGGAGGUAUCAGAAGUGCGAAUGCUGACAUAAGUAACGAUAAAGCGGGUGAAAAGCCCGCUCGCCGGAAGACCAAGGGUUCCUGUCCAACGUUAAUCGGGGCAGGGUGAGUCGACCCCUAAGGCGAGGCCGAAAGGCGUAGUCGAUGGGAAACAGGUUAAUAUUCCUGUACUUGGUGUUACUGCGAAGGGGGGACGGAGAAGGCUAUGUUGGCCGGGCGACGGUUGUCCCGGUUUAAGCGUGUAGGCUGGUUUUCCAGGCAAAUCCGGAAAAUCAAGGCUGAGGCGUGAUGACGAGGCACUACGGUGCUGAAGCAACAAAUGCCCUGCUUCCAGGAAAAGCCUCUAAGCAUCAGGUAACAUCAAAUCGUACCCCAAACCGACACAGGUGGUCAGGUAGAGAAUACCAAGGCGCUUGAGAGAACUCGGGUGAAGGAACUAGGCAAAAUGGUGCCGUAACUUCGGGAGAAGGCACGCUGAUAUGUAGGUGAAGCGACUUGCUCGUGGAGCUGAAAUCAGUCGAAGAUACCAGCUGGCUGCAACUGUUUAUUAAAAACACAGCACUGUGCAAACACGAAAGUGGACGUAUACGGUGUGACGCCUGCCCGGUGCCGGAAGGUUAAUUGAUGGGGUCAGCGCAAGCGAAGCUCUUGAUCGAAGCCCCGGUAAACGGCGGCCGUAACUAUAACGGUCCUAAGGUAGCGAAAUUCCUUGUCGGGUAAGUUCCGACCUGCACGAAUGGCGUAAUGAUGGCCAGGCUGUCUCCACCCGAGACUCAGUGAAAUUGAACUCGCUGUGAAGAUGCAGUGUACCCGCGGCAAGACGGAAAGACCCCGUGAACCUUUACUAUAGCUUGACACUGAACAUUGAGCCUUGAUGUGUAGGAUAGGUGGGAGGCUUUGAAGUGUGGACGCCAGUCUGCAUGGAGCCGACCUUGAAAUACCACCCUUUAAUGUUUGAUGUUCUAACGUGGACCCGUAAUCCGGGUUGCGGACAGUGUCUGGUGGGUAGUUUGACUGGGGCGGUCUCCUCCUAAAGAGUAACGGAGGAGCACGAAGGUUGGCUAAUCCUGGUCGGACAUCAGGAGGUUAGUGCAAUGGCAUAAGCCAGCUUGACUGCGAGCGUGACGGCGCGAGCAGGUGCGAAAGCAGGUCAUAGUGAUCCGGUGGUUCUGAAUGGAAGGGCCAUCGCUCAACGGAUAAAAGGUACUCCGGGGAUAACAGGCUGAUACCGCCCAAGAGUUCAUAUCGACGGCGGUGUUUGGCACCUCGAUGUCGGCUCAUCACAUCCUGGGGCUGAAGUAGGUCCCAAGGGUAUGGCUGUUCGCCAUUUAAAGUGGUACGCGAGCUGGGUUUAGAACGUCGUGAGACAGUUCGGUCCCUAUCUGCCGUGGGCGCUGGAGAACUGAGGGGGGCUGCUCCUAGUACGAGAGGACCGGAGUGGACGCAUCACUGGUGUUCGGGUUGUCAUGCCAAUGGCACUGCCCGGUAGCUAAAUGCGGAAGAGAUAAGUGCUGAAAGCAUCUAAGCACGAAACUUGCCCCGAGAUGAGUUCUCCCUGACUCCUUGAGAGUCCUGAAGGAACGUUGAAGACGACGACGUUGAUAGGCCGGGUGUGUAAGCGCAGCGAUGCGUUGAGCUAACCGGUACUAAUGAACCGUGAGGCUUAACCUU
Molecule: ribosomal RNA, 2906 nt
Filed under: Escherichia coli
Lineage: Bacteria; Pseudomonadati; Pseudomonadota; Gammaproteobacteria; Enterobacterales; Enterobacteriaceae
Description: 23S ribosomal RNA
Rfam family: Bacterial large subunit ribosomal RNA
Source: RNAcentral